CUUAUCAGGUGCUGCCUACCUGGCCAGGCUCUGUAUGAGGCCAUGGGUUCACAGUGGGGAGCAAAGAGAGACACAGGCCCUACCUUUCGUGGGGAGAGACUGUGAGCAGACAGAUACCAGGCAGAUGUCAAUUACAAGCGAGGACAAGUGCUUCAAUGGAGAACAAAGGAUGUUGAAAGGUAACGUAACUGAGCCAAGGGCCCACGAUGGGAAGUGAUGUUGGAACUGAGAUCUGAAGGCCAAACGCAAGUUAGAUGGGCUAAG
RNAcentral lists this long non-coding RNA (264 nucleotides) under Homo sapiens (human). RNAcentral describes it as "HSALNT0037912". Lineage: Eukaryota; Metazoa; Chordata; Mammalia; Primates; Hominidae. The record is from RNAcentral.